UGGUGUGAGGGUGAUCUGGCUGUGACAUCUGUCACCCCAUUGAUCGCCAGGGUUGAUUGGGCUGAUGUGGCUGGCUCGGUGGGCGUCCCUUCCUUCCUCACUACUCCAUGUGGGGUCCUCAUAAAGCUGUGUGCUCUGUCCGAGAGUACGACUUCCUGGAUAGAGGAGGACCAUUCUUUGGUCAAGGAUUUACGGGUAGCUCUGCUCCCCUGCUAGAACCUCCAAACAAGCUCUCAAAGUCCAUUUGUAGGAGAACAUAGGGUAGCUUCCAAGACUCCAGACACAUUCAAAUGAGGCACUGCAUGUGGAAGUCUGCCUUUCUUU
Ursus americanus (American black bear) is the source of this 324-nucleotide unclassified non-coding RNA. Its record names the gene 7SK. It matches the Rfam family "7SK RNA". Rfam says of the family: 7SK was discovered as an abundant small nuclear RNA in the mid-70s but a possible function has only recently been suggested. Two independent studies have found that 7SK RNA binds the CDK9/cyclin T complex (known as elongation factor P-TEFb). The record is from Ensembl. Lineage: Eukaryota; Metazoa; Chordata; Mammalia; Carnivora; Ursidae.